UAUAUGAUGGUGGUCAAUAGGAGAAGGCUGGGGGAGUCUUACCAGCUUCUGUGCUGGAGAUGGGCAGUGUCAUGGCCCUGGGAUGUGGCUGCUCCUAGAGGAGAUGCUGUGUGCUGGGCUUCAUGGUCAUGGUGAAAAAGGAUCAAUCCUCUGGACUGCAGGUUGAGAAUCAAAUUGCCUGCGUGCCCUGAAGUCUGAGAAUCAAAUGAAGAAGUUUACUGCAUGGAGACUUCAAAUUUUAACUUGAACUAAGUCUAAAAAAUGACCAGAGAACUUUUUACUGUGGUUUAGGAUGGUGCAGAGAGAGUCCACCAAGAAGGGUGUACUACCAGUGCUGCAGGAGCCCUAAUAGACAGAAUGCACAUCUCCCACGGACACAACAGCAUGUGCUUCACUUAAGACCAAGAUGUGUAAAGCAU
Long non-coding RNA from Tympanuchus pallidicinctus (lesser prairie-chicken), 419 nucleotides. RefSeq lists it as uncharacterized. The transcript has 3 exons. The record is from RefSeq and is a predicted model, not a curated record. NCBI's taxonomy places the organism in Eukaryota, Metazoa, Chordata, Aves, Galliformes, Phasianidae.